This 276-nucleotide long non-coding RNA is filed under the name Theobroma cacao (cacao). RNAcentral's name for it is "long non-coding RNA (TCAC_LNC004483)". The record is from RNAcentral. Lineage: Eukaryota; Viridiplantae; Streptophyta; Magnoliopsida; Malvales; Malvaceae.
AUGACUAUGAACAACCUAAUUCGCAAGCCUUCACAACAGAGAAAGUAAACAGGCCUCUUUUUAUGUAAUAACUCAAGCAACCAUCAAAAUCCCUAUGUCAGGUAAUACAAUUAUGAAAAUUUGGGGGGUGAAGCAGGAUUUCUGGCCUAUUAAUGCCCAACAACCAAAGCAACCAUAAUACUUGCAUGCCAGGAUUUGUCACCGAAAUUUAGGACCAUUAACAUCUAUGAAGGGGAGCAGGAUAUAUGUCCACAGGUUGAUAUCGUAAGUGAUCAU